UACGGAGACUGCGAGCGUUACUCGGAUUUACUGGGCGUAAAGGGUCCGUAGGCGGCCAUGUGUGUCGGGUGUGAAAUCCUGCAGCUUAACUGUAGACUUGCGCCCGAAACUACAUGGCUAGAGUAUUGGAGAGGUGAGUGGAAUUCCUGGUGUAGCGGUGAAAUGCGUAGAUAUCAGGAGGAACACCAACGGCGAAGGUAGCUCACUGGACAAUUACUGACGCUGAGGGACGAAAGUGUGGGGAGCAAAAGGGG
This 254-nucleotide ribosomal RNA is filed under the name uncultured bacterium. RNAcentral describes it as "partial 16S ribosomal RNA". It matches the Rfam family "Bacterial small subunit ribosomal RNA", at positions 524 to 777 of the family's 1533-position model. The record is from RNAcentral.